GGCAGUACAGGGUGUUUCAAAAAGAUGGGCCCGAUUUUAAAUCGCUAUAUCUCUGCAAUUGGGUCCAUCGUCUUGAAAUACCUUGUAUUUCC
This 92-nucleotide microRNA precursor is filed under the name Petromyzon marinus (sea lamprey). RNAcentral's name for it is "microRNA pma-mir-4628 precursor". The record is from miRBase by way of RNAcentral. Lineage: Eukaryota; Metazoa; Chordata; Hyperoartia; Petromyzontiformes; Petromyzontidae.